GGAGAGGUGGCUCAGAGGUUAAGAGCACUGGCUGCUCUUCCAGAGGUCCUGAGUUCAAUUCCCAGCACCUACA
This is a transfer RNA of Neotoma lepida (desert woodrat), 73 nucleotides long. It matches the Rfam family "tRNA". From Rfam's summary of the family: Transfer RNA (tRNA) molecules are approximately 80 nucleotides in length. Their secondary structure includes four short double-helical elements and three loops (D, anti-codon, and T loops). NCBI's taxonomy places the organism in Eukaryota, Metazoa, Chordata, Mammalia, Rodentia, Cricetidae. The record is from Rfam.